GAAAAUACUGCCAUCUAGUGGGAAGUGUAGAAAAGUCUAACUUUCGAAACAAAUUAGUGUUCAACCAAAAAUGGCGGAUGGAGUUCAGGCACAGCCCAACCUCCAAAACAAUCAAGGUAAGGUUUGCCAAAGCUUUGAGGACGGCCGUCAUGUUGGCUAGGUAAGUUUGAUCUUCACUUCGUCAGUGUGGAAAUCGGAACCUGGAUUUUCCAUUUGUAUUUCCUUACUCAUCGUGACGCUGGCGUUCAGUAUUAAAUCGGUUAACACACGGAAUGCCAGUUGAAACCUAGUUUUUACCAAUGACCAGUAAUGAUAUAUUCUGCUUUUUAAAAUGUCGAAUAUUGAAGUUGCAAAGGAACUCCUAAGCUUUUGUCUUUUCGUAAAAAAAAAAAAAAAAAAAAAAAAACGUGUUCCGAGCCACAUGAUUAACGCACA
Long non-coding RNA from Macrobrachium nipponense, 435 nucleotides. RefSeq lists it as uncharacterized. The transcript has 3 exons. NCBI's taxonomy places the organism in Eukaryota, Metazoa, Arthropoda, Malacostraca, Decapoda, Palaemonidae. The record is from RefSeq and is a predicted model, not a curated record.